GAAUAACAUUACGUACACGGACCUUCAUCUCACCAUCACUACGCAACAGCGAGUGAACGGGGUUGACACGGCAACAAACUCCGUGCCGAGUGCAAAGCGGCGUCUCCUCCACAGCAGCAGCGAGCUGCGCGCGACCAGCGGCUCCAUGCGUCUGUCUGCCCGCGCCUCUUCCUCGCCUGGUCUCCGGUCUUCCUCCUCCGUUUACACCCGUUUCAUUUCUACUUCGGCGGGCACACGACGACAGACAGACUGACGUCGCUUCGGUGAAGCACCGCCCCCCCCCCUCCCCAUCCCUUCCUGUUGGUGUAUAUAAAUAUUCUUUUUGAGUAUCCUUCAUUGCCAAGCCGCCAAAGUGGAGAGUGUGAUUUCAGAAGGGGGUGCUUCUCGUUUCAGUGCUUCUUCGGGGGGAGGAGGUGGUAGGGGCGCACCUCAGCUCUAUCCCAAAACUGUCGGCAACAG
Long non-coding RNA from Pseudoliparis swirei, 459 nucleotides. RefSeq lists it as uncharacterized. The transcript is spliced from 4 exons. NCBI's taxonomy places the organism in Eukaryota, Metazoa, Chordata, Actinopteri, Perciformes, Liparidae. The record is from RefSeq and is a predicted model, not a curated record.